This is a long non-coding RNA of Chenopodium quinoa (quinoa), 405 nucleotides long. RefSeq lists it as uncharacterized. The transcript is spliced from 3 exons. NCBI's taxonomy places the organism in Eukaryota, Viridiplantae, Streptophyta, Magnoliopsida, Caryophyllales, Amaranthaceae. The record is from RefSeq and is a predicted model, not a curated record.
CACCCCCCUCUAAACGAUGCGUUUAUCAUGUUACCCACAUCCCAUAACCCACUAACCUACUGUAACUACCUACCAUUCUCUCUAAAACCUUCUUCUUCAUUUCUCUAGACUUUCUCUCUCAUCAAAACUAGAAAAUAUGAACCAAAAUUGCUUCAAAAUACUACAAAAUUGCUUCAAAAUACUACGAAAUUGCUUCAAAAUAUUGCUAAAUUCCUUCAAAUGUCUACAUUUGCGAAGAAAUUCAACAAUCGCAACAACAUUCACAGAAAGAAACCGAAAAAUAUAUUUCGAAUUAGAGAGAUAAAGAGAAUGAUGAUUCAGAGAAGAAUCAUGUUCGUUGAACAUAACAAGGCAUAGUCUGAAGAAACGUGAACCAAAUUAGGAAGCAAGGAUGCGGAACUGAUG